CCGAGACAGUAUGAAGCCUCCAGCACCAGGGAUGUGGUUUGAGGCAAAGGGACGGAGGUUGUGACAACCAGAAAACUGAAAACGGAAUGCUAACACUUUGCCUGCGCAAAGGCGCUUGAAAGACCACUGAACAUCUGACUGAUAACUGUCCUGGACCAACCUACAGCUAAGAAUGCAGGGCUGAUUCAUCUUAAGGUCCCAGACAGUUAACCGAGAAGGGUAGAGGGAAAAUAUUUAUUCUUCUUCUACAUUAGAAUCAGCAAUUUUCCAGAUUCCACAUGCAGGCUACAGGAGGAAGCCAGAAUCCUGAAGUAUAGCAAUGGACUGCAUCUUGAAACACGUGCCAAGCCAGCCAGAUGCUGGGACAGAAACUCUGGACAGUGGCCUCUAUCCUGGGCCUGCUGAAAACAAGAUUAGAUCUUUUCCAUGGCAAGACAAAUGAAAUGGUGCAUUGGGAAGUCAGAAGAGAAACCUCCUUAAUUUUAUAUUAUCAAUAAAGUUCACCACAGA
Long non-coding RNA from Artibeus jamaicensis (Jamaican fruit-eating bat), 510 nucleotides. RefSeq lists it as uncharacterized. The transcript has 4 exons. NCBI's taxonomy places the organism in Eukaryota, Metazoa, Chordata, Mammalia, Chiroptera, Phyllostomidae. The record is from RefSeq and is a predicted model, not a curated record.